GUCUGUUAAAUUUUAUACUCGUAUAUGAAUAAAUUAUUAUUUUGUCAGUUAAAUAUUAUCUACAUUAAACAUCAUUUAUACAUUCAAUCUUUCUAAACUUUCUGGAAAGUUCCAGUCUUGAGUCUCUCCAGUUCCAAAGAAUAUGAAGAAAACGGCUGCUACUAUGUACACCGAGGCUCCGAUGAAAAAUACCGGUCGCCACUGCUCAAAGCCAUUCUGAAAUAAGACAAAACGGGAAUCAAAUAACGAGAUAUUUACAAAAUGUAUCUGCUGCGUAUUUUAAUUGUGGUCAACAAAAUAGCCAAACAGCUACAGACUAAAUCGCUCUUAAAUACGGAAAACAAAACUAUUAUUGCGUAAACUUGUUCAGAGGUGCACUAAUACCUUUUUAGGGUUCCGUAGCCAAAUGGCAUAAAACGGAACCCUUAUAGUUUCGCCAUGUCCGUCUGUCUGUCUGUCUGUCUGUCUGUCUGUCCGAGGCUUUGCUCCGUGGUCGUUAGUGCUAGAAAGCUGAAAUUUGGCAUGAAUAUAUAAAUCAAUAAAGCCGACAAAGUCGUACAAUAAAAUCUAAAAAAAUAAUUUUUUUUAGGGUACCUCCCUUACACGUAAAGUGGGGGUGAAUUUUUUUUUUCGCUUCAACCCUAGAGUGUGGGGUAUCGUUGGAAAGGUCUUUUAAAACUAAUAGGGGUUUUCAAGAAACAUUUUUUGAUAAUGUGAAUAUGUUCGGAGAUAAUCGCUCCGAAAGAAAAAAAAUAUGUGUCCCCCCCCCUCUAACUUUUGAACCAUAGGUCCAAAAAAUAUGAAAAAAAUCGUGGAAGUAGAGCUUAAGAAAGACAUUAAAUGAAAACUAUAGCGGACAUGAUCAGUUUAGCUGUUUUUGAGUUAUCGCAAAAAGUUUUACCUUCAUAGUAAAAAGACUUACUUUAAUUAGGUACUGAUUAUGCAAAUUUGCCUAUUUGUUUAACUCGGGUGAAAGGUACCAUUUACUACACUUUAAGCUCCAGUUUAGCUUAUUGUGACGUAAGAGUAACUACGGAACCCUACACUGAGCGUGGCCCGACAUGCUCUUGGCCGGUUUUUUUAUAAUUAAUUUUCAUAUAUUAUAGUUUGAUUUAUCGUCAUUUUGAAUAACGUAAUAAAAGGCAUACUACUAUACUUGUAUAUGUAUAUUAUCGAAUCAACGACAUACAGAAUGUUAUUCUUGGUAUAGUGGUUAUAGGAUAGGGUAUAUACAAUAUGUCUUUAUACCAGUUAAAAAUAUAUGCAGAUAUAGGCAUUAUAUCAAUUACGGUUUAGAUUUAAUCAUAACAUAAAGUUGGCUAAGAGUGUAAACCUGCCAAAUCCAAUUUAAAAUUGAUAAAUUUGUACUUUUUUUAUAGACAUUAAAGUUAAAAAUGAUCAAAAUAACAAAAAUUGAUUUAAAUGGAUGGAUGGAUUGAUUAGGAGAUUUUGGAUGGAUUUAAGGUCUACACUCUUAAUCGACGAUAGCAAAAUCAACGUAUAGUAAUAAAUACAUUAUAACAAGCAAUAAUAUAUGAAAUGGAUUUUUUUAAAACAUUACGCACUCCGGUUCAGAUAUCAAUUAAUUUUACAAAAAAACAAAAUGUAAGAAUAUUUAAUAUAGACAAGAAACAUUGGAUGGGAUAGUUAACUCACCCCACUCCUUGUAAAGUAAGCUGUAAUCAUCGGGGUGAAGAACCCAGCAGUGCUUCCAAUAGCAUUGGCAAUGCCAUACAAGCUCCCGGCGUAAUUCGGUGCGAGGUCCUGGUGGUUCUGCAGGUUGGUGAGUGUCGCCGCGCCAUUGGCCCCCAUCGACAGAGUGAUCAAGGCAACGGACAAUGCCGUCGAGCACCCCGCGUACACCAGCAAUAUUAAAAACACCCCAGGGAUUAUGUGCGAGAACAAACAAAAGAAUUUCCUAAUCUGUGUCGUCGUCAUAAGAUUUCUCGCCAAAAUGCAGUCCCCGAGCACUCCAAAUAUCGCUGAUAGGAAUAAUCUGGCCAAAUACGGUAGAGCUGAUAUGACACCGGCGGCAGAGAGCUGGAAGCCUAGCACGCUUGACACGAACUUUGGCCCCACGGUCAUUAUAAAGUACAAGCCCCAGAGAUUUCCGUAGUGCAAUAUAACCAUGGCCAGGAAAGGAAGCGAUGUCACAAUACUCUUGAACGGCGGGAGGCCCUGAAAUCGAAAUUUAUUAGUUAAUAUUACAACACAUUUUGGAACAUCUCCAAAAAAGAUGUCUCACGUAAGAUAAUAAAACUUCUUAAAUGGCCUCGA
Molecule: long non-coding RNA, 2277 nt
Organism: Cydia pomonella (codling moth)
Lineage: Eukaryota; Metazoa; Arthropoda; Insecta; Lepidoptera; Tortricidae
Exons: 2
Source: RefSeq, a predicted model, not a curated record